RNAcentral lists this ribosomal RNA (374 nucleotides) under uncultured organism. RNAcentral's name for it is "partial 16S ribosomal RNA". It matches the Rfam family "Bacterial small subunit ribosomal RNA", at positions 527 to 896 of the family's 1533-position model. The record is from RNAcentral.
GUAGGUGGCAAGCGUUGUCCGGAAUUAUUGGGCGUAAAGCGCGCGCAGGUGGUUCUUUAAGUCUGAUGUGAAAGCCCCCGGCUCAACCGGGGAGGGUCAUUGGAAACUGGGGAACUUGAGUGCAGGAGAGGAAAGUGGAAUUCCACGUGUAGCGGUGAAAUGCGUAGAUAUGUGGAGGAACACCAGUGGCGAAGGCGACUUUCUGGCCUGUAACUGACACUGAGGCGCGAAAGCGUGGGGAGCAAACAGGAUUAGAUACCCUGGUAGUCCACGCCGCAAACGAUGAGUGCUAAGUGUUGGGGGGGUUUCCCGCCCCUCAGUGCUGCAGCUAACGCAUUAAGCACUCCGCCCUGGGGAGUACGGUCGCAAGACUG